Molecule: ribosomal RNA, 274 nt
Filed under: uncultured bacterium
Lineage: Bacteria
Description: partial 16S ribosomal RNA
Rfam family: Bacterial small subunit ribosomal RNA
Source: RNAcentral
CCCGCCGGCGACCGGCGCACGGGUGAGUAACACGUAUGAAACCUGCCCGUAGCAGGGGGAUAAGCGGAAGAAAUUCCGUCUAAUACCGCGUAACAACCCAUGGAGGCAUCUCUGUGGGUUUAAAGGAAGCGAUUCCGGCUACGGAUGGUCAUGCGGCGCAUUAGCUAGACGGCGGGGUAACGGCCCACCGUGGCGACGAUGCGUAGGGGUUCUGAGAGGAAGGUCCCCCACACUGGUACUGAGACACGGACCAGACUCCUACGGGAGGCAGCAG